GACGAACGCUGGCGGCGUGCUUAACACAUGCAAGUCGAACGGAAAGGCCCUGCUUUUGUGGGGUGCUCGAGUGGCGAACGGGUGAGUAACACGUGAGUAACCUGCCCUUGACUUUGGGAUAACUUCAGGAAACUGGGGCUAAUACCGGAUAGGAGCUCCUGCUGCAUGGUGGGGGUUGGAAAGUUUCGGCGGUCGGGGAUGGACUGGCGGCUUAUCAGCUUGUUGGUGGGGUAGUGGCUUACCAAGGCUUUGACGGGUAGCCGGCCUGGGAGGGUGACCGGCGACAUUGGGCCUGAGAUACGGCCCAGACUCCUACGGGAGGCAGCAGUGGGGAAUAUUGCACAAUGGGCGGAAGCCUGAUGCAGCAACGCCGCGUGCGGGAUGACGGCCUUCGGGUUGUAAACCGCUUUCGCCUGUGACGAAGCGUGAGUGACGGUAAUGGGUAAAGAAGCACCGGCUAACUACGUG
Molecule: ribosomal RNA, 468 nt
Filed under: uncultured bacterium
Lineage: Bacteria
Description: partial 16S ribosomal RNA
Rfam family: Bacterial small subunit ribosomal RNA
Source: RNAcentral